This 319-nucleotide long non-coding RNA is filed under the name Gossypium barbadense (sea-island cotton). RNAcentral describes it as "long non-coding RNA (GBAR_LNC006370)". The record is from RNAcentral. Lineage: Eukaryota; Viridiplantae; Streptophyta; Magnoliopsida; Malvales; Malvaceae.
UCGGAGGCAUCGAUCACACUAUCAAUCAAAGCACUUAGUAUAGUUAGAUCUUUUAUUUUGAUCAUGGCAUGUAUAGGACUUUGACUUUUGAGUUUUGUGUCAUUGUUAAUUGGCCAAUAUGUUAGCUUACUUUAGCAUUUGAUUCAGUUUGUAUAAGUCCAUGUGUGACAGCCCUAAUUUGACCCCAGUCGGGAAGUGGUUUCGGGACCACUAAACCGAGUUGUGAAAAUAAUUGAAUGAUAAAUUUUGUGCUUAAUUUGUGUGAAAACGCAUAUGUGAAUUUGUGGUGCUUUGAUUUAUGCCAAUUAAGGUGAAUUUU